This is a non-coding RNA of Camellia sinensis, 1360 nucleotides long. Lineage: Eukaryota; Viridiplantae; Streptophyta; Magnoliopsida; Ericales; Theaceae. The record is from RefSeq and is a predicted model, not a curated record.
CGCAUUUCUAUAUUUGCUCACACAUAGUUCAUACACUGUGCUUUCUGUUUUGCACUUUCUUCAUCUGCAUGAUAUUGUUCAUACACUGAUCACAUACCGUUGCAUUUUCCCUGUAGCUAUGGGUAUACACAUACUUUCUGACUCUCGCCUUGGAGCCUGUAGAGGAGCUUCCAUUGACAAUACCCUAUUUGUGAGUAUAUGACAGUCAGCUUCACCGUAGGACCCGUGAGCCUUUCACUUUCUUCUGCUAAUACUUCAACACGGUAGCAGCCUAUGAGAUCACGUGGCAGCCGUGGGCCACGAUGCCCGCGGGGAUUCAAGGCUAGUAUACCAGGGCCUGGGUCAUUUCUUGCUACCACAUUCUACUCGAGGGCGCAGUCUGCUAGGCUUGGUUCUUGGGUGAGCGCUUCGUGCGCCAGAUUAUGGUCCUACUCGACCCGAUCGUCCCGAUGGCUCCACCAGAGUCCAUGUGGUCCACAGAGAGCCUAUUUGUUGAGGAGGUCAUCCAGUUCAUGGUGGGCCUCAACGUCAACUUCUGCUGAGUGGAGGGCGACUAUGCAGCUUUCAUCCUGACACAUCUGAUGCCGCCCCUGACCGGUGUUUGUAGAGCUAAGGAGGUGAGAGCUCCUGCCGCGAGAGAGGGGCCUAGAGCGACUUGAGCGAGCAGGGCUCGUGGUAGAGGGGUUACCCGGGUGGGGUAGAGUACCGGUUGGCCGAAGUUGCCUACUGCACUCAUAUGUUGGCAGUAUACUAGGAAGGCAUACCAGAUCCUUAUUGAGCCUGCAGCAGCUGGGCAUAGAUACUUCAGAACUCACAACGCACCUCCGGCACCCCCAUGGUACACUGAAGGCCUGCUCGAGCUACUGGAUUCGUUCGAGGGCAUGAUAUUGAGGAGGGAGGCACUGCCCAGUUUCCAUGGCAUUCAGGUCCCACCGAUACCGAUGGCACCAGCGGCAGCUGCAGUACCUGCACCACCAGUUCCUCCUCCAUCAGCAAGGAGAGGGAGACAAAUUUCAACAUGCGGCUGAGGCAGAGAUAGGGGCACCCGAGCCGAGAGAGGCCCUUCAAAGCCCAUUCUGAAUGAUUAUGAUGUUGAGACGAGCGACUCUGAGGAGGUAGCGAGUCAGCAUUCAGAUUCAUUUGAGAGUGAAGGUGAUGAUGCUAGUUCAGGUUCCGGGAGUGGAGACGAUGCCGAGGCGAGCUCCGAGGUGAAGAGCGGAGAUGGCUCCAAUUCAGACUCUGGUUCUGAUUCAGAUAGCGGUGCCAAUGGAGACAGUGCCACAGAGUCCUCUCCUCCGAGGAAGAGGACGAAGAGGGCUUCUCAAGCCUGAGGUGACCAGUGCUAUUUUUUUUUGUAGUU